RNAcentral lists this long non-coding RNA (430 nucleotides) under Homo sapiens (human). RNAcentral's name for it is "non-protein coding lnc-ABI3-2:9". The record is from RNAcentral. Lineage: Eukaryota; Metazoa; Chordata; Mammalia; Primates; Hominidae.
UGACCAGGCACCAGGCAGGGAGCAAGGAACCAAGCCUUUCACCUGCUCCCACCAACUCCUAUGGUGCUCCCUUUCCAAGGCUAGGUCUCCUCUCCACCCAGUUCCUUAUCACGUACCAUGAGAAGCUGUCACCUUGGCAACUGUCACCUUCUGGUGAGAUUUACAAUUGCACUGCUACAACUGCUUGUGGCAUGGUAAAGUUGCACCAGGACCUCUGCUGUCCAUGAGAUCAAAGUUCCAGGCCAAGGCACCAGGGGCACGAACAGUGUUGCCCGCAUGGAACUCACACUUAAUGGGAGCGGCAGCCAACAGGAUGAUACCCGGCAAAUUCUUCAAAGCAGUGUUCUCCAACUUGAAUGUUUGUGAUGUGGGCGAUUCUGACUGAGGGGGUCUGUAGACCACAUCUUGAUAAACAAUGCUUUUUAAAAAA